AUUGAACGCUGGCGGCAUGCUUUACACAUGCAAGUCGAACGGUAACAGGCCUUCGGGUGCUGACGAGUGGCGAACGGGUGAGUAAUGCAUCGGAACGUACCCAGAGGUGGGGGAUAACGCAGCGAAAGCUGUGCUAAUACCGCAUGUGAUCUGAGGAUGAAAGCGGGGGACCGAGCAGCAAUGUUUGGCCUCGCGCCUUUGGAGCGGCCGAUGUCGGAUUAGCUAGUUGGUGGGGUAAAGGCCUACCAAGGCGACGAUCCGUAGCUGGUCUGAGAGGACGACCAGCCACACUGGGACUGAGACACGGCCCAGACUCCUACGGGAGGCAGCAGUGGGGAAUUUUGGACAAUGGGCGCAAGCCUGAUCCAGCAAUGCCGCGUGCGGGAAGAAGGCCUUCGGGUCGUAAACCGCUUUUGGCAGGAACGAAACGGUGUCCGCUAAUACCGGGCGCUAAUGACGGUACCUGAAGAAUAAGCACCGGCUAACUACGUG
RNAcentral lists this ribosomal RNA (492 nucleotides) under uncultured bacterium. RNAcentral's name for it is "partial 16S ribosomal RNA". It matches the Rfam family "Bacterial small subunit ribosomal RNA", at positions 29 to 507 of the family's 1533-position model. The record is from RNAcentral.